RNAcentral lists this ribosomal RNA (530 nucleotides) under uncultured bacterium. RNAcentral describes it as "bacterial SSU rRNA". It matches the Rfam family "Bacterial small subunit ribosomal RNA", at positions 980 to 1509 of the family's 1533-position model. The record is from RNAcentral.
CUUGACAUCCAGCGAACUUUCCAGAGAUGGAUUGGUGCCUUCGGGAACGCUGAGACAGGUGCUGCAUGGCUGUCGUCAGCUCGUGUUGUGAAAUGUUGGGUUAAGUCCCGCAACGAGCGCAACCCUUUAUCCUUUGUUGCCAGCGAUUCGGUCGGGAACUCAAAGGAGACUGCCGGUGAUAAACCGGAGGAAGGUGGGGAUGACGUCAAGUCAUCAUGGCCCUUACGAGUAGGGCUACACACGUGCUACAAUGGCGCAUACAAAGAGAAGCGACCUCGCGAGAGCAAGCGGACCUCAUAAAGUGCGUCGUAGUCCGGAUCGGAGUCUGCAACUCGACUCCGUGAAGUCGGAAUCGCUAGUAAUCGUGGAUCAGAAUGCCACGGUGAAUACGUUCCCGGGCCUUGUACACACCGCCCGUCACACCAUGGGAGUGGGUUGCAAAAGAAGUAGGUAGCUUAACCUUCGGGAGGGCGCUUACCACUUUGUGAUUCAUGACUGGGGUGAAGUCGUAACAAGGUAAGCGUAGCGAG